UGGGGAAUAUUGCACAAUGGGGGAAACCCUGAUGCAGCGACGCCGCGUGAGCGAAGAAGGCUUUCGAGUCGUAAAGCUCUGUCCUAUGAGAAGAUAAUGACGGUAUCAUAGGAGGAAGCCCUGGCUAAAUACGUGCCAGCAGCCGCGGUAAUACGUAUGGGGCGAGCGUUGUCCGGAAUCACUGGGCGUAAAGGGUUCGCAGGCGGAAUAACAAGUCAGAUGUGAAAGGCAUGGGCUCAACCCAUGUAAGCAUUUGAAACUGUAAUUCUUGAGAAGUGGAGAGGUAAGUGGAAUUCCUAGUGUAGCGGUGAAAUGCGUAGAUAUUAGGAGGAAUACCUGUGGCGAAGGCGACUUACUGGACACAAAUCUGACGCUGAGGAACGAAAGCGUGGGUAGCAAACAGG
RNAcentral lists this ribosomal RNA (404 nucleotides) under Verrucomicrobiota bacterium. RNAcentral's name for it is "Verrucomicrobia bacterium partial 16S ribosomal RNA". It matches the Rfam family "Bacterial small subunit ribosomal RNA", at positions 355 to 776 of the family's 1533-position model. The record is from RNAcentral. Lineage: Bacteria; Pseudomonadati; Verrucomicrobiota.